Molecule: non-coding RNA, 1433 nt
Organism: Marmota monax (woodchuck)
Lineage: Eukaryota; Metazoa; Chordata; Mammalia; Rodentia; Sciuridae
Source: the annotation of a RefSeq genome assembly
CAAUCUUAGGUAGUGUCAGGGCCCUGACUGGUGCGGUUCUUGUCUGGGACCCAGCCACAUUUGUCACAAUGUGACAAUGCAUUUGAUGUCUGGGGCCAGGGAACCCUGGUGACCGUCAGCUCAGUCUCCAUGACCAAGCCCAGCGUCUUCCCACUGAGCGGCCCUCGAGACAAGUCAGCCAACCAAGUGAUCAUUGGCUGCCUGAUUCAGAACUUCUUCCCCUCGGGGCCCGUGACCGUGACCUGGGGCAAGAAUGGAGAAGGCGUGACCGUCACUGACUUCCCGCCUGCCCAGGCCACAGGGGGCCUGUACACCAUGAGCAGCAAGCUGACCCUGCCAGCCUCCGAGUGCCCAGAGAACACAUCUGUGAAGUGCAGCGUGCAGCACACCUCAAACCCCACCCAGGAAGUGGAGGUGCCCUGUGAAGAACCUGUGGUGGUGCUCCCUCCCGUCUGCGGCCAACCCCGCCUCUCCCUGCUCCGGCCGGCCCUUGAGGACCUGCUCCUGGGCUCUGACGCCAGCCUCACGUGCACACUGAGUGGCCUCAAGAGUCCAGAAAAGGCCAGCUUCACCUGGGAGCCCUCAGUCGGGAAGAACGCUGUCCAGACGACUGGGCGAGACUCCUGCGGCUGCUACAGCGUGUCCAGUGUCCUGCCCGGCUGUGCCGAGCCCUGGAACCGCGGGGACAUCUUCACGUGCACGGCCACCCAUCCUGAGUCCAGCCAGACGCUAACUGCCACCAUCAGCAAAGCCACAGAGAACACCUUCCGGCCCCAGGUCCACCUGCUGCCGCCGCCGUCGGAGGAGCUGGCCCUGAACGAGCUGGUGUCGCUGACGUGCCUGGUGCGGGGCUUCAGCCCCGAGGACGUGCUGGUGCGCUGGCUGCACGGGGGCCAGGAGCUGCCCAGCAGCGAGUACCUGACGUGGAAGCCCCUGAAGGAGCCCGAGCAGGGCCCCACCACCUUCGCCGUGACCAGCGUGCUGCGCGUGACGGCCGCGUCCUGGAAGCAGGGGGACAACUUCUCCUGCAUGGUGGGCCACGAGACCCUGCCCCUGGCCUUCACCCAAAAGACCAUCGACCGCCUGUCGGGUCCUCUGUGUCUUCCAGACUGUCAGGAGCCACUGCCCUACGUGGUGCUGGACCAGCCACAGGAGAUCCUGGAGGAGGACGUCCCAGGGGCCAGCCUGUGGCCCACCACCGUCACCCUCCUCACCCUCUUCCUGCUGAGCCUGUUCUAUAGCACAGCGCUGACCGUCACGACCGUGCGGGGCCCGCCUGGCAGCAAAGAGGGCCCACAGUACUGAGGAGGAGACAGCCGGCCCAGGGAGGAAACGUGGAGACACCCUGGACGUGUCAGAGCUGAGCCCUGAGUGAGGCCACGGUCUCACCCCCACUCUCCACUUUCCCGUGCAAUAAACUGAUGCCAAACGCA